UAUCAUCCAAUGCAAAGAAGGAUUUGGGAGUGAGCUUUGUGGAGGUGAGAGGAAAAAGGAUGGAUCCCAGGAGGCUGUCCUUCCCGGGUUCCUGGGUAGAGGGCUCAGCCUUAGUGAGGCAGAGACUGCUCAUGGAGUCCAGGUUGCCUUCCUCUCCAGCAGAGUUGAUGGAAAGAGCUUGGAUGUGUGGAAGGAAGCUGUUAUACAAGUUCAAGGGGUGGGCUGCUAUUGAGUGGAUAAUUGAGCAUUCUGAAAGCGCUGUGAGCUAACGGGGUCCGCGCCUGCGCCUGGUGACAAACGGCGGUAACUACAGUGCUCUUUACCCUGGGGGAGCGUUUAGCUCCUGCUCCCUGUGUGCAUGGUGUGCGGUGCUGGGAGGGGGUUUACAAGAGGCAGCUGCUUGUGUCUCCAGCCCUGUGCUCCUUAGUAUCUUAGUAGUGGAAUAAAAUCACUAGGUUCACCUUCUUCCUAAUUCAUUUCCCUGUUUCAUGGCAGGAUUUAUUGUCAAGGGAAACUCGAACAUUUGUCAGCGCGUCUCCAAUGAAGGCGGUUCGGCUUCCGCCAGCUGUUCUCAGUGCUUGGUCCCUGAACACGUCCUCUAACCUGUGCGUCAUUCGUGAGGAGCCUUUCACUAGGAGGUCCGCACAGUGUUAAAGCUGAUCUGACGGGAGGCCUUUUUCAUUUUGGAUACAUCGCCCCCCAAAAAAAUGAAAGAGGAAAGAAAAAAAGAGAAGGAAAGAAAAAUGAAUGAAAGGAAGGAAGGAAGAAAGAAGUGAGUCCUGAAUAUGGUUCACUGGCCCAGUCUGGAAGAGGUGUGGAAUCUGCUGGAAUCUUCCGCCUGCCACUCACGGCCUCCGCCAGGCUCCUCCGUCGUGACCUCACGGCACAGGAGGCCCGGCCAUGGUGCAGGCGGAGUGCUCGUCCGUUGCAGAGAGAGACUCGGUGGUAGGGCAAGGGCUGCAACGCCCUGCCUGUCCCCCCGCCGCUGAGCCAGCAGGUGGGGAGCCGGCCCCACCCGCAGCCCAGCACCCCCACCCCGUGCCGGUGUGUCCUCGUGCUGCUCUUGUGCCUGGUCUGUUUUCCCCCAGCUGCAGCUCCCACAUCUGUCCUGCCAACUCUUGGGAUCUUACUAAACAGCUUCUCUCUUUUCAGAUCCGUUUCCGUUCCGUGCCCCUUAAUCAGCAGUCUUCACUGCCAGUCUCUUCACACAUAGCUGGCCACCAUCUGUCACCUCAGGAGUCUCUGGCUGAGUCCUUCCACACUCGUCACCCAUUCUCUGCAGUAACAUCAUUGUCCAAGGUCAGACCUUUUGGGAAGCACACCCCUUUCGGGUUUCCCUGGCACCGCCCUUCCUGGAAGCCAGGACUGGCUCUCCUCUGGCUGAGCAGCUGUGUCAUCUUUCCUGGGCAUUUCCUUGGCCCUUCUCCUCUCCUGGAGCCCUUGUCUCCUAGAUUCCCUGCUUCCUCUCUCUGUCCUAUCACAAGAUGGGAAAGCACAUAUGUAGUAGCUUCUAAGACUUGGCACAUCUGAAAAUGUCUCUUCUCUUCUCCUGCUUCAUUUAUAUCUUGGCUGGAUGUAUAAUUCCAGAUAAAAAUACUUUCACUCAGAAUUUUGAAGGCAUUGCUCCAUUGUUUUCCACUCCAAUUCUUGAUCCUCUGUAUGUGACUUUUUUCUCUCUGAAAGCUUUUAGGAUCUCUUUAUCCCUGAUUUUUGUUUUUUAAAGAUUUUAUUUUUCCCUUUUCUCCCCAAAGCUCCCCCCCAGUACAUAGUUGUAUAUUUUUAGUUGUGGGUCCUUCUAGUUGUGGCAUGUGGGAUGCCGCCUCAGUAUGUCUUAAUGAAUGUUGCCAUGUCCGCGCCCAGGAUCCGAACUGGUGAAACCCUGGGCUGCUGAAGUGGAGCAUGUGAACUUAACCACUCAGCCAUGGGGCCCUAUCCCUGAUGUUUUGAAAUUUUAUAUGACUAAGCCUUGUUUGAAGUUAUCUUUUAAAAUUCACUGUGCUGCAUUAUGUGUGUUAAAUUCCUGGUUUUGAUAUUGUACUAUAAUUAUGUAAGAUGUUACUGAGGGGAUGUGGGUGAAAGGUACACAGGACAUUCCUGUGCUAUCUUUGUAGCUUCCUGUGAAUCUAUAAUAAUUUCAAAAUUAAAAGUUAAAAAAAUAUAUAAAUAGUGACAUCAUGGAAAAUGGCAGAGGUGGACAUUCCAAGAAUCAGCCCCUCCAAUGAAACAGUCGAUAAGCUAGCAAGAAAUGACAAACUCAACUUUUGUAGAACUCUGGAUUUUAAUCAGAUACUUAAACCAACUAGGGGAGUGCCUAAUGAAUCUUAAGUGACCUACCCUGCAGAUUUUGGACUUCCCAGCCUCCAUAAUCAUGUAGGCCAAUUCCUUAAAAUAAAUCUCUCUCUCUCUCUUUUUCCAAACAGACAUUCUAUUGGUUCUGUUUCUCUGGAGAACCUUGACUAAUACACUAUUGAAGCUAAAUUCGUGUCAAUUCAAACUAGAUUUUUUUAACUUAAGAUGUUAAUUAUAAUCACCAGGGUAACCAGUAAGAAAAUAACUAAAAAAUUAUACAGAAAAAGAAACAAAGGGGAAAUCAAAAUGGUAUACUAGAAAAAAAGAAAAUCAGUCAAACACAACAGAAGGCAGUGUGGAAAGAAUUCAAGAACAAAAAGUCAUAAAAUUUAUAGAAAACAAAUAGCAAAAUGUAAGAAGCUAGUGCUUCCUUAGCAAUAAUUACUUUAAAGGUAAAUAGGUAAAAUUCAUCAAUUAAAGGACAGAGAUUGGCAGAGUGGAUGAAAAAACAUGAUACUACUAUAUAUGUUGCCUAGAAAAGACUCACUUUAUUUUUAUUUUUUUUUUUUAAAGAUUUUAUUUUUUCCUUUUUCUCCCCAAAGCCCCCCCGGUACAUAGUUGUAUAUUCUUUGUUGUGGGUCCUUCUAGUUGUGGUAUGUGGGACGCUGCCUCAGCAUGGUUUGAUGAGUGGUGCCAUGUCCGCGCCCAGGAUUCGAACCAACGAAACACUGGGCCGCCUGCAGCGGAGCGCGUGAACUUAACCACUCGGCCACGGGGCCAGCCCCAGAAAAGACUCACUUUAGAUCCAAAGACACAAAUAGGUUGAAUGUGAAAGGAUGGAAAAAGAUAUUCCGUGCAAAAGAGAGCUGGGGUGGGCAUACUUAUAUCAGAAAAAAAUAGACUUUAAGUAAAAAAUUAUUAUAAGAGACAAAAAAGGACAUUAUAUAUUGACAAGAGGGUCCAUUCAUCAAGAAGAUAAAAGUUACAACCAUAUACAUACCAAACUACAGAACCUGAAAAUAUAUGAAGCAAACAUUAGCAGAACUGAAGGGAAAAAUAACAAUUCUAUAAUAAUAGUUGGAGACUUCAAGAAUUCACAUUCAAUAAUGGAUAGGACAUCUAGACAGAGAUCAGUAAGAAAAUGAGGACUUGAACAACACUGUAAACUAACUUGACCUAACAGACAUAUAGAAAACACUUCCUCCAGAAAGAGCAGAAUACACAUUUUUAUCCAGAGCACAUGGAAUAUUCUUCAGGAUAGACCAUAUGUUAGGCCAAAAAACAAGUCUCAAUAAACUUAAGAAGAUUGAAAGCAUAUAAAGUAUCAUUGGUGAUUACAGUGAAAUGAAAUUAGAAAUCAGUAGCAUAAGGAAAACUGGAAGUUUCACAAAUAUGUGGCAUUUAAAAAACAUACUUCUAAUAACCAGUGAGUCAAAGAAGAAAUUACAAGUGAAGUUAUAUUUUGAGAUGAAUGAAAGUGAAAACACAACAUAUGAAAAACUUAUGAGAUGCAAUGAGGGCAGUGCUCAGAAGGAAAUUCAUAGUUACAAAGACCUUCAUUAAAAAAAGAAGAAAGGGGGCCAGCUUGGUGGUGCAGCUAUUAAGUUCACACAUUCUGCUUCAAUGGCCUGGGGUUCGCUGGUUUGGAUCCCAGGUGCGGACAUGGCACUGCUUGGCAAGCCAUGCUGUGGCAGGCGUCCCACUUACAAAGUAGAGGAAGAUGGGUAUGGAUGUUAGCUCAGGGCCAGUCUUCCUCAGCAAAAAGAGGAGGAUUGGCCACAGAUGUUAGCUCAGGGCGAAUCUUCCUCAAAAAUUAAUUAAAUUUUUUAAAAAGAGAAAGAUCUCAGAUCGUUUACCUGAUUUAAGGACUAGAAAAAAAAAAGAACAAAGUAAACCCAUAGCUUGCAGGAGGAAAGAGAUGAUCAAGAUUAGAGAGCAGACAAUAUAGAGAAUAGAAAGGCAAUAGAAUUCUUGAAGCUAGAAGUUGUUUCACUGAAAAGAUCAUUGAAAUUGGAAAACCUUUUAGUAAGACCAAGAAAAAGGAUUCAAAAUAAAAAAAUCAGAAAUAAAAGUGGAGGCAUUACUACAGACAUUAUAGAAAUAAAAGGAUAUAAGAGAAUACUAGGAAUAAUUAUAUACCAACAAAUUAGAUAACCUAGGUGAGAUGGACAAAUUCCUAGAAACACAAAUUACCAAAACUGAUUAAAGAGGAAAUAGAAAAUCUCAACAGACCUAUAACAGGUAAAGAGAUUGAAUCAGUAAUUUAAGACCUCCCAACAAAGAAAGGUCUAAAUAUUAAAGAAGAAUUAACACCAAUCCUUUGUAAAUUCUUCCCAAAAAUAGAGGAGGGAAUACUUCCUAACUCAUUCUGUAAGACCUAUAUUACCCUGAGACCAAAGCUAGGCAAAGGCACUCCCAGAAAAUAACACUUCAGACCAAUAUCCUUUAUGAAUACUGAUGCAGAAAUCCUCAACAAAAUACUAGCAAGCUGAAUCCAACAGCAUAUUAAAAGGAUAUACACCAUGACCAAGUGGGAUUUAUCCCAGGAAUGCAAGGGUGGUUCAACAUACAAAAAUCAAUCACUGUAAUAUACCUUAGUAAUAGAACUAAGGGGAAAACCUCCACAUGAUCAUCUCAAUUGAUGCAGAAAAAGCAUUUGACAAAACUUAACACCCUUUCAUGAUGAAAACACUAUUCUAGGAAUAGAAAUAGUAAUUCUAGAAAUAUUCUAGGAAUAGGAAUAGAAGGGAACGUCCUCCACAUAGUAAAGGGCAUUUAUGAAAAACUCACAGCUAACAUCCUGCUCAGACAGACAUCUUUCACUCCAAGAUAAAGAAUAAGAGAAAGAUGCUCAUUUUCACCACUGCUCUUCAACACAGUACUGGAAGUUCUAGCCAGAGCAAUUAGAUAAGAAAAAGAAAUAUUAGGCAUCCAAACUGGAAAGGAAGAAGUAAUAGAAGUAUCUCUAUUCACAGACAACAUGAUCCGGUAUGUAGAAAAUCCCAAAGAAUCCACAAGAAAGCUACUAAAGGAAUUCAGCAAAAUUGCAGUGUACAAGAUCAAUACAAAAAAAAUCAAUGUAUUUCUUUACAAUAGCCAUGAGCAAAUUAAAAAUAAAAUUAAGAAACCUACCCAAUUUACAACUGCAUCCAAAAGAAUAAAAUACAUAGAAAUAAGUUAAAGCAAGAAGGUGAAGGACUUGUACACUAAAGAUUGCAAAACAUUGAAAGAAAUUAAAGAAGACAAAUAAAUGGAAAGACAUCCAUUGUUCAUGGAUUGAAAGACUUAAUAUUGUUAAGAUGACAAUACUAUCCAAAAUGUUCUAUGGAUCAAUCUAAUCCCUAUCAAAAUGGCUACAGCUUUUUUUUCAGAAAUGGAAAGCCAAUCCUCACAUUCAUAUGGAAUUGUAAGGGACCCUGAAUAACCAAAACAGUAUUGAAAUAGAACAACAAAGUUGGAGGGCUCACAUUUCCCAAUUUCUUGCAAAGCUAUAGUAAUCAAAACAAUUUGGGACAGGCAUAAAGAUAGAUAUAUAGACCAAUGGAAUAGAAUUGAGAGUCCAGAAAUAAACCUGUGUAUCUAUGGUCAAUUGAUAUUCAACAAGGGUGCCAAAAGAAUUUAAUGGGAGAAAGAAUAGUGUCUUCAACAAAUGGUGCUGGGACAACUGAAUAUCUACAUAUAAGAGAAUGAAGUUCGACUAUUAACUUACAUACAAAAACUAACUCAAAAUGGAUCAAAGACCUAAAUAUAAGAGCAAAACCCAUAAAAUUCUUAGAAGAAAACAUAGGGGUAAAUAUUCAUGACCUUGGAUUUGGCAACGGGUUCUUAGAUAUGACAACAAAAGCAUGAGCAACAGAAGACAAAAUAGAUAAAUUCGACUUCAUCAAAAUAAAAGCUUUUUUGCAUCAAAGGACACUAUCAAGAGAGUGAAAAGACAACCUAGAGAAUGGGAGAAAAAUUGCAAAUUGUAUAUCUGAUAAGGGUCUCUUAGCCAGAAUAUAUAUAGAACUCUUACAACUCAACAAUAAAAAGAGAACCCAAUUUAAAAAUGGGCAAAGGAUCUGAAUAGACAUUUCUCCAAAGAAGAUAUGGAAAAUAACAAGCACUGGAAAAGAUGUGGAGAAAUUGAAACCUUUGUUCGUGCUGGUGGUAAUGUAAAAUGGUAUAGUCACUCCACUCCUAGUUAUAUACCCCAAAGUAUUGAAAACAAGUACUCAAAUACUUGUACACGAAUGUUCAUAGCAGCACUAUUUACAGUAGCCAAAAGGUGGAAAUAACUCAAAUGUCCUUCAACUGAAUGGAGAAACAAAUGUGGUAUAUCCAUACACUGGGAUAUUAUUCAGCCAUAAAAAGGAAUGAAAUACUGAUACAUACUACAACGUGGAUGAAUCUCUAAAACAUUAUGCUAAGUUUGAAUAAUGAAAGAAGCCAGACACCAAAGGCCACAUACUGUAUGAUUCCGUUUAUAUGUAAUAUCUAUAAUGGGUAAAUCCAUACAAAUGGAAAGCAGCUUGGUUGUUGCCAAGGGCUGGGGGGAGGGGCAAAUGGGGGAAAUCUACUGAAUGGGUAUGGGAUUUCCUUUGGGGGUGAUGAAAAUGUUUUGGAACUAGAUAGAGGUGGUGUUUGCACAACAGUGUGAAUGUACUGAAUACCACUGAAUUGUAUACUUUAGAAUGGUUAACUUAUGUGAAUUUCACCUCAGUAAAAAAGAAAAAAAUAUGAAUAAAUACAUGCGUGUAUACAUACAUAAAGCUGAGGUCAGGCAGCAAGGCAUCGAAAAAAAUCGCUUUGGGAACGUGGUGGUGCCUUUGGUUCCGGUAGUGAUUUCUUUGAUAAUUUCCCCAUCAUUCUCUCUUCUCUUUUUCUGGAAGUCCUCUUAGUCAUAUGUUGAGCUUCCUGGAUUGAUCUUGUAAUUUUCUUAUAUUUUCUCUCCUCUUUGUUCUCCCUUAUGGGAGAUUUCCUGGACUUUAUCUUCCACCCCUUUCACUAAUUUUUAUUUUGGCAAACUGUAUUUUUAAUUUCUGUCUUUCCUGUUCAUUAUCACAUCUCGUUCUUGCUUCACAGAUGUAGUGUCGUAGCUCCUCUCUCUGCAGAAAUAAGUGCGAAGUGAAGCUUUCUUGUGUGUCAGCGUCUCCUCCACGUCCCUUCCCAUCGCAGGCUUUCCUCAGAUGUCUCUUCAUACUGACAUGCCCCAAACCCCGCGAGAGCUCCGGGUGGAGCGCGAGGCUUGCUGGGGCUGGGCUUCACUGUCGGGUGUGCUGUGACUUCUUCCUUGAACCCCAAAGACCUUGUCUCUAGAUUGGUUCAGUUUCUCCCAAUAAGACUCAGCCUUUUGGAGGAGGCGGGGGUGUGUCUGUGUUUACCUAGGGGUCUAAGAGCCCAGGCUGUGAAAUUACCCCUUCCAGCCUGUCCCCUGCCCUCCCCUGCGUGCCCUUUCUCUGGACAGUCCCCAGGCUAUGACGGCUCCUGUCCCUCCUGUCCGACCGCCCUCCGCUGCAUCACUGCUCCUCCCUCUGCUUUCCACCUUCACGUGUGGGCUGCGAGGCUGCUGCCUCCGUGUAGUUUCUGAAGUUUGUGUUUCUGUUUUUUUUCCUUAUAGUUUUGUGGACAUUUCAGAGAUAAGGGCAAAAGGUCUUCUUCCCCACCAUGUCGAAAUCAAAGUUCUGUUCACUUUUAUAAACAAUAUUAAUUGAAAAAAAUACAUAAAAGCAAUCCAUGUUUAUGGUUAAAAAAAAAAGAUACAGGAGUCUCUGGGGAAGAGUGAAGUCCUCCCCAGGAGGAAGACUGACUGGCCUCUGCCAGUUGACUCCCGACUUUUAAGGCUUCCAGAAAUGUUUGCUGCACAUGCAAGUAUGUGUGUUUUUUUUCUUUUCUUUCUUUUAUUAAACACAGAUGGGAUCAUACUGUGUACAUUGUUUUGUGUCUUUUUCUACAUUAUCUUGCAAAGUCCCCUCUUUCGGAUUAGCUGUAUGAUAGCACUGCAGUCUUAAUUCCUGAAGGACUCGAGGGCUCCUUGCAGGUAAGUGCUGGGUCUGCACAGGCGGUGGGUGCAGGUGGAGCGGCCUGCGUGCUGGGGCAUGCUGGGGACCGCCCUCUGGGCGUGCAUCUCUUACAGACGCUGUGUGAACACUUUCUCCAGUGACAACCUCUUGUUCCACUUGUAGGUAACUCUGUUCCUGUCAAGGUGACUCUGUAUAACCUGGUAGAGGUAAUGGUCUAAAAACUGUCAUGUAGGGAGUUCUGUUCUAGAGGGAAACAUAUACUUUUUUUUUUUGAGGAAGAUUAGCCCUGAGCUAACAUCUGCCGCCAAUCCCCCUCUUUUUUGCUGAGGAAGACUGGCCCUGAGCUAACAUCCGUGCCCAUCUUCCUCUACUUUAUAUGUG
Molecule: long non-coding RNA, 8672 nt
Filed under: Equus asinus (donkey)
Lineage: Eukaryota; Metazoa; Chordata; Mammalia; Perissodactyla; Equidae
Description: lncRNA (ENSEASG00005025505.1)
Source: RNAcentral